This 344-nucleotide ribosomal RNA is filed under the name uncultured bacterium. RNAcentral's name for it is "bacterial SSU rRNA". It matches the Rfam family "Bacterial small subunit ribosomal RNA", at positions 335 to 665 of the family's 1533-position model. The record is from RNAcentral.
ACUCCUACGGGAGGCAGCAGUGGGGAAUAUUGCACAAUGGGCGCAAGCCUGAUGCAGCCAUGCCGCGUGUGUGAAGAAGGCCUUCGGGUUGUAAAGCACUUUUCAGUCGUGAGGAAGGUAGUGUAGUUAAUAGCUGCAUUAUUUGACGUUUAGCGAACAGAAGAACACCGGCUAACUCCGUGCCAGCAGCCGCGGUAAUACGGAGGGUGCGAGCGUUAAUCGGAAUUACUGGGCGUAAAAGCGCAUGCAGGUGGUUUUGUUAAGUCAGAUGUGAAAAGCCCCGGGGCUCAACCUCGAAUUGCAUUUUGAAACUGGCAGACUAGAGUACUGUAGAGGGGGGGUAG